GAUGAACGCUGGCGGCGUGCUUAACACAUGCAAGUCGAACGAGAAGUGAAGACGGAAACCUUCUGGCGGAAGGCUUUAUUUCGAGUGGCGGACGGGUGAGUAACGCGUGGGUAACCUGCCUCAUACAGGGAGAUAACAGUUGGAAACGACUGUUAAUACCGCAUAAGACCACAGCACCGCAUGGUGCGGGGGUAAAAACUCCGGUGGUAUGAGAUGGACCCGCGUUCGAUUAGCCAGCUGGCGGGGUAACGGCCCACCAAAGCGACGAUCGAUAGCCGAUCAGAGAGGAUGACCGGAGACAUUGGGACUGAGACACGGCGCAAAAUCCUACGGGAGGCAGCAGUGGGGAAUAUUGCACAAUGGGGGAAACGAUGAUGCAGCGACGGCGCGUGAGUGAAGAAGUAUUUCGGUAUGUAAAGCUCUAUAAGCAGGGAAGAAAAUGACGGUACCUGAGGAAGAAGCCCCGGCUAACUACGUG
Molecule: ribosomal RNA, 478 nt
Filed under: uncultured bacterium
Lineage: Bacteria
Description: partial 16S ribosomal RNA
Rfam family: Bacterial small subunit ribosomal RNA
Source: RNAcentral